AUGUUACACAUGGCUUCAUUUUCUGGGUUUGAACUUCUUUUUGGGACUUCCCAGAGAUAUUCAUGCACCUUCAUGCCUUAUUCACCUUUCCUUCCUUGUCAAAUGUGUGGAGUUGCAGUGAGGAAUAGUUCAAUAAGGAAAAUGUCUCUAAGAACUAGCUCUCAGCUCGCCCUACAGCUCAAAAGUAGUGUCUUUUUUACUACUGGGCUCUCGGGUUAUCACAGUUUUGUAAGUUCCAGAACAGCAGAUGUCUGUGGAGUUGCUUUAAAGGCUACCAAUAGUGUUAAUUCACGGUUCUUCUCAACUGCAUACGGUAAAAAGUUAAGGUUUCUCAUUAGCAAUAAGAGCUCAUUUAUCAAUCCAAAUAUAAAUAGGGAAGAUGGAGGUGCUGCCCAUAGGUACUUCCAUAGAUCUGAGAGACGCCAAAGCACACUAGCUGCAUGCAGCACCAUCGCUGAUGAGGCUUCCACAUCUACGAGCAAGUGCAGUGAGAGUGGUACAGGUACUAAAAAGGACAUUGCGAAGAAUAAAAAUUCUGGAGGCAGCAAAAAAGAAGUUAGCACAGAUGUGAAAGAAAAGAAAGUAUCUACCAAGAAAAAGAGCAGUUCUACUAAAACUAGUAAAUCAGCAGCAAAUACAACUGAGAAAGCAAGUGCGAAGCAAGAAGAAAAGAAGGCUGACACAUCUAAAUCAAAGAAAGGGGUUGGUAGUUCCAAAGAGAGAAAAACAGUAACCAGUUCGAAGAAAUCUUUGGAAGCAAAGGAAUCUGCUGCUAUUGCAGCUGCCGAAGCCAAUAAUUACAUGAAGACCACUGUUGAUGCUUCUGGUAGUGAGAGGAGGCCACUUGUACCUCUGUACCCCCCCUUAGCUAAAUCAGUUGUUGUUGUUGAAUCAGUUACAAAAGCAAAAGUUAUUCAACAAUACCUUGGGGACAUGUACGAAGUAUUACCCAGCUAUGGUCAUGUGAGAGAUCUAGCUCGAAGGUCAAGAUCUGUCCGCCCUGAGGACGACUUCAGCAUGGUAUGGGAGGUGCCUAAUGGUGCCUGGACAUGCCUUAAAAGUAUUAAAGUUGCAUUGAAAGGAGCAGAAAAUUUGAUUCUCGCUUCUGAUCCUGACCGUGAAGGUGAAGCAAUUGCUUGGCACAUAAAAGAAAUGCUUGAACAGAACUUGGCUUGCCAUGUUACUGUUGCAAGAGUUGUCUUCCAUGAAAUUACAGAGGAUGCUAUUAAAAACGCCUUAAUGUCUCCAAGAUAUAUUGAUAUGGACUUAGUUAAUGCUUAUCUUGCACGCCGUUCCCUUGAUUAUUUGAUUGGGUUCGCCAUAUCACCACUUUUAUGGAGGAAGUUGCCUGGUUGUCAGUCCGCUGGACGAGUCCAGUCUGCAGCUUUGUCUGUUGUUUGUGAUCGGGAGACUGAAAUAGAAAAGUUUAGCCCACAGGAAUAUUGGACUGCUGAUACUGAAUUUGAAACCCAGUGUUCAGAUUCUUCAAAAGGCAUAUGUCUUACAUCCUGGAUAAAGCAUCUCAAUUCAAAAAAGUUGGAUCAGCUUUCUAUAAGCUCUCAAGAAGAAGCACGAGCUCUAGAAAAGAGGAUUUAUUCUUGCCAAUUUGAAGUAAGAGGUGUUCAUAGAAGCAAAAUUCACAAGAAUCCUCCGAUGCCAUAUAUAACGUCCAGCCUUCAGCAAGAUGCAGCAAACAAACUACAUUUUGGUGCAGGGCAUACCAUGAAGGUAGCCCAGAAGCUUUAUGAAGGGAUCAAUCUUUCGUCAGAACAAGCAACAGGAUUAAUAACUUACCUCAGAACAGAUGGGUUUCAUAUUUCUCAUGGAGCUGCAGAAGAUAUUCGUUCGUUAGUGAAACAAAGGUAUGGUGAGCAAUAUGCAUCAGAGGAUAUUAGGAAGUACUUGAAGAAGGUGAAAAAUGCUCAAGAGGCCCAUGAAGCCAUAAGGCCCACCAGCAUAAGGAGGUUGCCAUCAUCUUUGAUUGGAGUACUUGAUGAGGAUUCUUUGAAACUGUACACUCUAAUAUGGAGAAGAACAAUGGCUUGCCAAAUGGAAGCUUCAAGGACUGAGCUGAUACAAGUUGGUAUUGGUAAUCCUGAAGGAGACAUGAUUUUUCAUUCAUCUGCAUCAAGGCUUGACUUCAAGGGGUACCAAGCUGUCUAUGAGGACACUGAAGCAAGUGGGUCCAGUGAAAACCCCGAAGGGGAAACUGCACAUCAGGAUACUUUCGAGGCCUUGUCCAAAUUAGAGAUGAAGGAUUUGGUGUCUCCCGUUAACGUGAAUCUUGAACAGCACUUUACUAAACCUCUGUCCCGUUAUUCUGAGGGUGCAUUGAUUAAAAAGAUGGAGGAACUUGGAAUCGGAAGGCCGUCUACGUACGCCUCUAUAAUGAGGGUGUUGCAGGACCGGAAAUACGUGACAGUAAAAAGUCGUGUUCUGCACCCUGAAUUCCGCGGUCGAAUGGUCUCAGCAUUUCUUUCACAUCUUUUCUCUGAGAUUGUCGAUUACAGCUUUACUGCUAACAUGGAGACGGAGCUAGACAAUAUCUCUGCUGGGUCAACUGAAUGGAAGGGUCUCCUGAAAGAUUACUGGGAACGACUCAGCAAAUAUUGCGGAGAUGCUAGUCAGUGGGAUGUCAGAAAGGUAGAGAGAAUGCUUGAAGAGAAAUUCCGUCCUAUCCUCUUUCCUGACCUUGACACCGAUAGUAGGAUUUGCCCUAGUUGUUCUGAAGGAACCCUCAGAUUUAAAGUUAGCAGGUAUGGUGAAGGCUCUUUUAUAGGCUGCGAUCGACAUCCGAAGUGCAAGUACAUCGCUCGCACAUUAUCAGAUGAAGAUGAUGAAAAUGAAACCUCCGAGCAAAUUCCAAGGUCUUUUGAACCUAGGUUACUUGGUAUCAUGCCUGAUACAAGUGAAAAGGUCUUCUUGAAACAAGGUCCUUAUGGUUACUACAUCCAGGUUGGAGAGGAUCGGAAGGGGGCAUCUCAGAAAAGAGCUCCUCUUUCUGAGGUCAAAGAUGUUGACUCUAUCACUAUCAAAGAUGCAAUUGAGCUAUUGCAGUAUCCAAAAAUUCUGGGAAAACAUCCUGAUGACGAGCAUCGAGUACUUAUGACACAUUCUAAAGCUGGAUUUAGUAUCCGGCACAGGGGAACCCUUGCUCCAGUGCCAAAGACUCAAGACCCAAAGAAGAUUACGCUCGAGCAUGCACUGAAGUUUCUGACGGGUAAAAAUGCCAAACAUAAUGGUCGACCAAAGGGAAAAACUAACAAAAAUGCAGAACCCAUCGAAUGGCAUUAA
RNAcentral lists this ribosomal RNA (3294 nucleotides) under Triticum aestivum (bread wheat). RNAcentral describes it as "partial small subunit ribosomal RNA". The record is from RNAcentral. Lineage: Eukaryota; Viridiplantae; Streptophyta; Magnoliopsida; Poales; Poaceae.